Molecule: ribosomal RNA, 702 nt
Filed under: uncultured bacterium
Lineage: Bacteria
Description: bacterial SSU rRNA
Rfam family: Bacterial small subunit ribosomal RNA
Source: RNAcentral
AGAGUUUGAUUAUGGCUCAGAACGAACGCUGGCGGCAUGCCUAACACAUGCAAGUCGAACGAACCCUUCGGGGUUAGUGGCGCACGGGUGCGUAACGCGUGGGAAUCUGCCCUUAGGUACGGAAUAACUCAUGGAAACGUGAGCUAAUACCGUAUGAUGUCUUCGGACCAAAGAUUUAUCGCCUAGGGAUGAGCCCGCGUUGGAUUAGCUAGUUGGUGAGGUAAAGGCUCACCAAGGCGACGAUCCAUAGCUGGUCUGAGAGGAUGAUCAGCCACACUGGGACUGAGACACGGCCCAGACUCCUACGGGAGGCAGCAGUGGGGAAUAUUGGACAAUGGGCGCAAGCCUGAUCCAGCAAUGCCGCGUGAGUGAUGAAGGCCUUAGGGUUGUAAAGCUCUUUUACCCGGGAAGAUAAUGACUGUACCGGGAGAAUAAGCCCCGGCUAACUCCGUGCCAGCAGCCGCGGUAAUACGGAGGGGGCUAGCGUUGUUCGGAAUUACUGGGCGUAAAGCGUACGUAGGCGGCUUUGUAAGUUAGAGGUGAAAGCCCGGGGCUCAACCCCGGAAUUGCCUUUAAGACUGCAUCGCUUGAAUCGCGGNNAGGUGAGUGGAAUUCCGAGUGUAGAGGUGAAAUUCGUAGNUAUUCNNNNNNNCACCAGUGGCGAAGGCGGCUCACUGGACGCGUAUUGACGCUGANNUACGA